Molecule: ribosomal RNA, 410 nt
Filed under: Dryadomyces quercivorus
Lineage: Eukaryota; Fungi; Ascomycota; Sordariomycetes; Ophiostomatales; Ophiostomataceae
Description: LSU rRNA
Rfam family: Eukaryotic large subunit ribosomal RNA
Source: RNAcentral
GCUCAGAUUUGGAAUCUGGCCCCCCCCGGGGGCCCGAGUUUGUAAUCUGGAYAGGAUGCUUCUGGCGCGGCGCCCGGCGAGUUCCCUGGAAACGGGACGCCGGAGAGGGUGAGAGCCCCGUUACUCCGGGCCGCCUAGCCUCUGCGAAGCUCCUUCGACGAGUCGAGUAGUUUGGGAAUGCUGCUCUAAACGGGAGGUAAAUUUCUUCUAAAGCUAAAUACCGGCCAGAGACCGAUAGCGCACAAGUAYAGUGAUCGAAAGAUGAAAAGCACUUUGAAAAGAGGGUCAAACAGUACGUGAAAUUGUUGAAAGGGAAGCGCCCGUGGCCAGACUUGCGCCCCGCGGCUCACCCGGCGGACCCCGCCGGGGCACGCCGCGGGGCGCAGGCCACAUCGGCUUCCCCAGGGGGA